GACGAACGCUGGCGGCGUGCCUAACACAUGCAAGUCGAACGGGACCUCCGGUUUUGGUGGCUACUGGGGGCGUGACGGGUGGGGACACGCCCUUGUAUUCGGCAUAACUCCCCGGGAGAGGUUCUAAUACCGGGGGAUAUUUUCGGACAAAAGAUUUUUCGGCUUUGUUUGGGCCGGCGUUGGAUUGGGUAGUUGGUAGGGUAAACGCCUGCCAAGGCGAGGAUCCAUAGCUGGUCUGAGAGGAUGAUCAGCGACACUGGGACUGAGACACGGCCCAGACUCCUAGCAGAGGCAGCAGUGGGGGAUAUAGGACUAUGGGCGAGAUGCUGAUACAGCAAGGGCGGGAGAGCGAUGAAGGCCUUGGGGUCGGAAAGCGCUCUUGCCCGAGAUGAGAAUGACAGUACCGGGAGAAGAAGCACCGGCUAACUACGUG
RNAcentral lists this ribosomal RNA (433 nucleotides) under uncultured bacterium. Its description in RNAcentral is "partial 16S ribosomal RNA". It matches the Rfam family "Bacterial small subunit ribosomal RNA", at positions 28 to 507 of the family's 1533-position model. The record is from RNAcentral.